This 72-nucleotide transfer RNA is filed under the name Bos taurus (domestic cattle). It matches the Rfam family "tRNA". Rfam says of the family: Transfer RNA (tRNA) molecules are approximately 80 nucleotides in length. Their secondary structure includes four short double-helical elements and three loops (D, anti-codon, and T loops). RNAcentral also lists the same sequence under 3 other names. The record is from Rfam by way of RNAcentral. Lineage: Eukaryota; Metazoa; Chordata; Mammalia; Artiodactyla; Bovidae.
UCCCUGAUGGUCUAGUGGCUAAGACUCUGCUUUCCCAAUGCAGGGGCCCAGGUCUGCUCCCUGGUCAGGAUA